This 406-nucleotide ribosomal RNA is filed under the name uncultured bacterium. RNAcentral's name for it is "partial 16S ribosomal RNA". It matches the Rfam family "Bacterial small subunit ribosomal RNA", at positions 28 to 526 of the family's 1533-position model. The record is from RNAcentral.
GACGAACGCUGGCGGCGGGCCUAAUACAUGCAAGUCGAACGAGUGGCGGACGGGUGAGUCAUGUCUGGGAAACUGCCUGAUGGAGGGGGAUAACAACUGGAAACGGUAGCUAAUACCGCAUACCAUGGGAUGUGCCCAGAUGGGAUUAGCUAGUAGGUGGGGUAACGUCUCACCUAGGCGACGAUCCCUAGCUGGUCUGAGAGGAUGACCAGCCCCACUGGAACUGAGACACGGUCCAGACCCCUACGGGAGGCAGCAGUGGGGAAUAUUGCACAAUGGGCGCAAGCCUGAUGCAGCCAUGCCGAGUGUAUGAAGAAGGCCUUCGGGUUGUAGAGUACUUUCAGCUGGGAGGCGUUACCCGAAGAAUAAGCACCGGCUAACUCCGUGCCAGCAGCCGCGGUAAUAC